CUAAGAAUAUUCCGCAAUGGACGAAAGUCUGACGGAGCGACGCCGCGUGGAUGAAGAAGGCCGAAAGGUUGUAAAGUUCUUUUGUUGGGGAAGAAUAACCAUGGGAGGGAAUGCCCGUGGGAAGACAUGAACCGACGAAUAAGCCCCGGCUAACUACGUGCCAGCAGCCGCGGUAACACGUAGGGGGCGAGCGUUGUUCGGAAUUACUGGGCGUAAAGGGCAUGUAGGCGGUCUUGUAAGCUUGGCGUGAAAGACCACGGCUCAACCGUGGGAUUGCGUUGAGAACUGCGAGGCUUGAGUGACGGAGAGGGAGCUAGAAUUCCUGGUGUAGGGGUGGAAUCUGGAGAGAUCAGGAAGAAUACCAAUGGCGAAGGCAAGCUCCUGGCCGAUGACUGACGCUGAGGUGCGAAAGUGUGGGGAUCAAACGG
Molecule: ribosomal RNA, 428 nt
Filed under: uncultured bacterium
Lineage: Bacteria
Description: bacterial SSU rRNA
Rfam family: Bacterial small subunit ribosomal RNA
Source: RNAcentral